GCGGCGGAGCAUGCGGUAUUAAUUCGAUGCAACGCGAAGAACCUUACCAAGGCUUGACAUACACCGGUAACGCCCAGAGAUGGGUGCCCCUUUGUGGUCGGUGGACAGGUGGUGCAUGGUUGUCGUCAGCUCGCGUCGUGAGAUGUUGGGUUAAGUCCCGCAACGAGCGCAACCCUCGUCCUAUGUUGCCAGCGGGUCAUGCCGGGGACUCAUGGGAGACUGCCGGGGUCAACUCGGAGGAAGUGGGGAUGACGUCAAAUCAUCAUGCCCCUUAUGUCUUGGGCUUCACGCAUGCUACAAUGGCCGGUACAAAGGGCUGCGAUACCGCGAGGUGGAGCGAAUCCCAGAAAGCCGGUCUCAGUUCGGAUUGGGGUCUGCAACUCGACCCCAUGAAGUCGGAGUCGCUAGUAAUCGCAGAUCAGCAACGCUGCGGUGAAUACGUUCCCGGGCCUU
Molecule: ribosomal RNA, 453 nt
Filed under: uncultured Cellulomonas sp.
Lineage: Bacteria; Bacillati; Actinomycetota; Actinomycetes; Micrococcales; Cellulomonadaceae
Description: bacterial SSU rRNA
Rfam family: Bacterial small subunit ribosomal RNA
Source: RNAcentral